GCUAGCAAUGCGCCGUCACGGUUCAGCCGGUUUGCUCNAGGAGUCGGCGGUCGUCGGAUCCGAACGGACCGCGGUGUCGGCGUCCGCGAGCGAACUGCGGUGCACUCUGUGGCGGCGCGCNGUCAGCCGUCGGUUCGGAGCCGGGCGACAAGGCGCCGGAUGGAAGGUAGCCUCGCGGCCUGGCCGCGAGUGUUACAGACGCCGUGCUGGGUCCGCUGCUCGGACCGAGGAGAGAGAGGAUCGCUGCAGCGCAUGCCNCAAGGCUAGCUGCCUGCCGUCCGGCUUGCUUCACUGGCUGAGGACUGCACGCAGUGUUCGGCUUGGCGAGGUGGUCUGGCGGUGGAGUGGCAUAAAUGCGCUUAGGACGCUGGCGUCCAAAUGGCCGUGCGCGACCCGUCUUGAAACACGGACCAAGGAGUCUAACAUGUGCGCGAGUCUUUGGGUGUGAAAACCCUCGGGCGCAAUGAAAGUGAAGGCUCGCGUUGGCGGGCUGAGGUGAGAGCCGGUGCUGCGGCGUCGGUGCAUCAUCGACCGGUCCAUUCUUCUCUAAGAAGGAUCCGAGUAAGAGCGUAUUUGUUGGGACCCGAAAGAUGGUGAACUAUGCCUGAAUAGGGUGAAGCCAGAGGAAACUCUGGUGGAGGCUCGUAGCGAUUCUGACGUGCAAAUCGAUCGUCAAAUUUGGGUAUAGGGGCGAAAGACUAAUCGAACCAUCUAGUAGCUGGUUCCCUCCGAAGUUUCCCUCAGGAUAGCUGGAACUCAGUACACAGUUUUAUCAGGUAAAGCGAAUGAUUAGAGGUCUUGGGGGUGAAACACCCUCAACCUAUUCUCAAACUUUAAAUAGGUAAAAAGCCGUGACUUGCUUGAUUGAAGCCACGCAGUUCAAUGUGAGUUCCAAGUGGGCCAUUUUUGGUAAGCAGAACUGGCGAUGCGGGAUGAACCGAACGCUCGG
RNAcentral lists this ribosomal RNA (949 nucleotides) under Soleneiscus radovani. Its description in RNAcentral is "eukaryotic LSU rRNA". It matches the Rfam family "Eukaryotic large subunit ribosomal RNA", at positions 595 to 1179 of the family's 3401-position model. Lineage: Eukaryota; Metazoa; Porifera; Calcarea; Clathrinida; Dendyidae. The record is from RNAcentral.